Daucus carota subsp. sativus is the source of this 4618-nucleotide long non-coding RNA. RefSeq lists it as uncharacterized. The record is from RefSeq and is a predicted model, not a curated record. The transcript has 8 exons. NCBI's taxonomy places the organism in Eukaryota, Viridiplantae, Streptophyta, Magnoliopsida, Apiales, Apiaceae.
UCACUCGUCGUGUAGGUUAAGGCGGCGGCUUUUCAGUUAGAUUAGGGCAUCGCCGCAACGAUCAAUGAUAAUCGUGUGUGUAUGUAUCUAUUUGAGUGUAAAGUGCUGAAUCGUUUCGUGAUGCUAUCUGUUUCGAAGUCCAAAAACAGUAAACAAUGAAGAAGACGCUCCAGAAAAACAAAACAAUGAUCUGCCUGAUUGGGUUGGCAAGGGAAAACAGUAGUUCUACUAAACCCGCCUCAAAGUGGACAACGAGAAAUGCCAACAUUCUCAUUGCAGAAUUCCCACUUUGCUUGAUAUUUGUCAGACAACAAAAAUUAUUUGUUACAUUGGUCAUGCAGCUGAUAUGAGGCAAAAGAACCCAAAGGCUGGCAACCCAUUUAAUGAAAUUGCACCUAUUAAAUGGGAGAUAAUUUGUGACCACUGCGAGGGAUUCCUUGUGACUCGGCCAAAUGUGUGCGAGAGAACAUCAGAAGAGCACACAAUUGCUGAAGGUAGAUCUACUUCUUACUUAAUUCAUUAACAUAUAAAUGAUUUCUCUAUAAUUAUGCAUUGACCCAAAUAUAUUAGUUUAACCUGUAGUUCUUGCGUCUUUUUUCCCAUACCUGUAUAUCAUUUUAUUUCUAAAAAGACAUGAUAAGAUUGUUGUUAGGAAUUAAUCAUCAUAUUGGUUUUUGUUGUCCAUCAUUGAUUAAAUAUUAAAAAUGUGAGAAUUUAACUUUAAAGGUGUUUUCUCUUAGCUUUUAAUCUGAAAACACUUGCAAUACCACUUGUACAAAAGAUAACCAAGAAGGUAAUGAAAAUUAAACUGGCUUCUACAAAGAGAAAGAUAAAAGGAACGAAGCAGCACAUCGUGGAACUUUUGAAAUCGCAAGAACCGAGUGAAAAGUGAUAACCUUCUUCCAUGCAGUUCUGCAUAUGUAUUCUUUACAAUAUUGUCUUAUACUUAUUCCCAUGUAAAAUCAGGGCUCAAAAGACUUAAAAUCGAUGAUGUUCAGCACAUGCAAGUUACUUGAAGUAGUUUUUAUAUUUGUCUAUUCAUUUAUUGAGCUAAACGAUGUAUAUAAUACGUGUUGGUUAACCCAAGAUCGAGUCUGUACUUUGGAAUGAUUUUUCUUAGUUUACCAGUUUUCUGUAGGAUUUGCUUAGGUGCCAAAGUUAAUGUUUUCGUGAAGUUAUUGGUGGAAGAACAGAGAACAUAGUAUUGAUUAAUGUACAAGAAAUUUAUAAAUAUAUUAAUUUAGAAACUGUGAAUUGAUAAAUAUAUUAAUUUAGAAAAAUUAGGGAAUUAAUAUAAAAAUAUUAAAUUUUGGUAUGUAUGUAGAAGAAUCAAACAUUUUUAUCCGCACCACUGAAUUGGCGAGAACAAUCUACUUCUAUAUAUAAUAAGCCAACCACGGGAAAAAUAUGCCUAAAUAAUACUUGUGAAAUGACAAGUAUACCCCAGUUAUUUUUUAAUUACAUUUCUGCUAAGACCUAUUAAAGGAGCUUAACGCUUCCACUUUUGUCUGAAAGAAACUGAUACACACCGAUGAUGUUCUUUUCAUCCUCGUCCCAAUACACGGUCCCAAUUAUGCGAUCACAGGCCGGGCAUCUUCGUCGUGCUGUAGGGGUAAUUUAUAGCAAAAAAUGUAGGAAUUAUAUGCGAAGAACAUUUGAGGUGUUUGACAGGGAUAGAAGUAGAAGUAUAUUAGAGGUGGGAAGGGUUUUAUGUGUUUUUUUACGGUAAUGUAAUCAGCUUAUGUUAAUUGUUAUUGUGGAAAUGUGAUAUAUAUAUGUUAUUUUGUGUAUUCUGUUUACUGUGUUCUGUUCCUAGCCAUAAUUUUUUGGUCGUUAAUUAGUUGUUGAAGUAUAUAAUUUUGCUCUUAUUUUAGUUAUUUGGAAUGGUGCAUUCUGGAGAUUCUAAGUUGUUGGCAAGUAAUUUGUUAUUAUGACUUAUAGUGCAAGGGAUGAUUUAGUUAAAAGUACUCCAAUGAUAAAGUUGCAACUAUAUCCGUGCUUGUGCCAGUUUAUCUGAAGUAGUCUGAUAUGUACGGAAUUGGAUUCACUGUAUAUGAUUCACUUCCUAUAUAUGAACUAUCCCACACUCUUGGUGUAGAAGGCAUCGGCAUUGUUAUUAUUAUUAGGAGUCGUAAACAGGGAUUGCAUUCAUCAUAUAUUAUACCCUAAAUUGAUAGAGCUGGGUGGAGUUUUGAAAGAAGGUGAGUCCUUAAAUAGUGAUAUAAUAUGCGGUGCUUUACUUUCUGAGUUUCAUAAUCUUGUCAGGUAAUAUUAUUCUUUAAGAAGCACCGUGAUUAGGAAAGAACGUAAGAUGUCAAAUAUGCCUCAGGUUCUUACGGGAAACACCUACAGACUACAGUUCUUGGAUUAAUCAACUUGAUAGGAUAUUAUACAAUUCAAGAAGAAGAUGGAUGUCUAAAAAUAAAUUAGCUCAUAAGUCAAACAAUGUGGAAAUGAGGAAUGUUACAAUUUAUUUCAUGCGCCAUAAUCAAAACUAAUCUAAUGUCCAUAUUUGAUGUAAAUAUUUUUUUACAGGCGAAAUUAAAGCAUUGGAAGCAGCUAUGAAUGACAUUAAUAACUCAUUUGGAAAAGGAGCUGUAACAAGAUUAAACGUUUAGAAUCUAAACUAUUAUUUGGUAUAAGAAUUGAAUUUUUUUAUUCAGUGUAGAUAUUAUUUUUUUGCAUCUCAAUAUACGUGUUAAAAAGUCAAAGUCGGUUAAAAUGUAACCGGGACAGAGGGAAUAUUAAACUUUCUGUCGUAGUAUAUUGUAUAGUUUGGUUGAAAGUUAUUAGUUUGUGAUAUAUCUUUACUUCUUUUUAAAGGUAUGUUUUCGUACACACUUUGAGGUAUUGUAAAACAAACUCAGUACAAUCUUUUUCACGUGAAGAUUAUCUUGUUUAAUAUCCAGGAUACGUAUGGCUCUGAGAUGGUGAAGUAAACAAUGAAGAUGAUGCUCCAAAAAGAUGGAAAACAGUAACUAAGGCUGGCUAAUCUGCUACUUAUCUGCUAUUAAGAAGCUGCUGCUUGUCUACUUGGUUAUUUCGUUGAAGAUAAAGCAACGCGACAUAUCGGGAACUUUUGAAAUUGCAAGAACUAAGUUAAAAGCUGGCAAUGUAGAUGAUUUUUUUCCAAGUAGUUGAACCUACCAAUGUAUUCCUUACCAUAUUGUCUUAUUCUUAUUUCUAUGUAACAUCAAUGCUCAAAAGACUUAAAAUCUAAGUUACUCAAGUAGUUUUUAUAUUUGUCUGUUUAUUUAUUUACCUAUAUAAUGUAUAUAAUACGUUUGUGUGAUGACAGAGGAUCGAUUCAGCACUUUGUAAAAAAAAUUCAUAGUUUACAUGCUACUCACUUGACGUAUAUGUAAUUAAUAUUAUUUUUAAAGUUUUAUACUAAAGAAUGUCAAAUCUUAUAUCUAUAUAAAGCAAAAUCUCGGGCGUCUUACGUGGCGCUCUUUACGCUCUUGAAUCAAAAUCCCUGCUCUCUGCACUUUUGGCUAUUUCUUUUAUAUUUUCUCUCAGCUUGCCUAGCGGUUAUGUUCAGCCUGGGACUUGGACAGGCACUUCAGUUACCCGCUCCGUAACUGAGGUCUCUGUGCCUCCUCAGAGAUUUACUUAUAAAUGGCCUUCUCUGGACAAUCUUUUCACACCGGGGAAAGCCGAUCGGCAUGAAUAUGACGGAUUCAGCUAGAGGGUCAAAGCGGGUAUGUAUGUUAUUCUUGCUGAUUUUCAGGGUUGAUUUAUGUUAUAUGAUCAUAGUCGUGGGCAGUUAUCUCCUUCUGAUUUAUCCGGAGAGCAUAGCAGCAGAUUUUUAUGAUAAAGUCUUAGAUUUGACAGAGGCAAGGAAAGGUGAGGAAAAUCCAGGCAUCCAGCUGUAUGCUCAAAAACAAACCUCCAGCGCAAGUGGAGACUGUUCUAAGUGACUGCUCCUCAGCAGCAGUUCACCAACCUAAGCGCAAGAGCCAUCGUUACAUUCCACAGGGAGAUCUUGUAUGGGCAAUCAGUUCAGACACGAUUCAUUCUCUCGUGGGACUCUCUGAACUUUUCUUUGUACUUCCGCUUAUGAAUUCAGUUCUAGGCCUGUGAGCUUUCAAGGAUGUUCUUGCAUUGGCGUCACUCGACAGGGCCAACAAUUGAGCUGUUGAGAAACAAAAAAAUAAAAGAGGCCUUCGAAGAUGGUUUUAGGAGUUGCGUAAAGAUUUUUAUGGCCAUUGAUCCGAAAUAUAUUGGGCAGACAAAUUUGGCGAAGGGGUGGCCAAAUGGAUGAAAGAAUUUUCUGUUAUGGAGGCCGUUGUAUUACUGAGAGAAAUGCUCUGUGAAAGCGAGAGAUAGAGCACACCUUCAAAAUCCAAAUACAAAAGAUGAUGUUUGCUCAGAGAAAACAGAGGAUGUACUUCAACUACUUUAACUUAAAAAUUUAUGAAAUGUUUUGGGACUUCUUUUAGUGUGAGCAGCCUUUGAGGCUUUGCAAAUUGUAGGAUAAUGGUGGACAAAAAUUGUCUUGUCUUGAUUAAGAUAUUGUAUAAGCUGCUAUUCAUUUGGUUCUCAACUUUUAGACAAAUGUGUUAUCUUUAAUGUAAAAGUUUAAAUUUGCAAUUUUAAAGUUUUUUAUUUUUUUUCA